Molecule: ribosomal RNA, 512 nt
Filed under: uncultured bacterium
Lineage: Bacteria
Description: bacterial SSU rRNA
Rfam family: Bacterial small subunit ribosomal RNA
Source: RNAcentral
GAUGAACGCUGGCGGCGUGCCUAAUACAUGCAAGUCGAGCGAACAGAUAAGGAGCUUGCUCCUUUGAAGUUAGCGGCGGACGGGUGAGUAACACGUGGGUAACCUACCUAUAAGACUGGGAUAACUUCGGGAAACCGGAGCUAAUACCGGAUAACAUUUAGAACCGCAUGGUUCUAAAGUGAAAGAUGGUUUUGCUAUCACUUAUAGAUGGACCCGCGCCGUAUUAGCUAGUUGGUAAGGUAACGGCUUACCAAGGCGACGAUACGUAGCCGACCUGAGAGGGUGAUCGGCCACACUGGAACUGAGACACGGUCCAGACUCCUACGGGAGGCAGCAGUAGGGAAUCUUCCGCAAUGGGCGAAAGCCUGACGGAGCAACGCCGCGUGAGUGAUGAAGGGUUUCGGCUCGUAAAACUCUGUUAUUAGGGAAGAACAAAUGUGUAAGUAACUGUGCACAUCUUGACGGUACCUAAUCAGAAAGCCACGGCUAACUACGUGCCAGCAGCCGCGGUA